UGAGCGCGUCCAAGUGCGUAUGCGUAGAGGGAGGCAAAUCCCCCUUUACAGAAGCAGAGACAUGAUGGGGAGUUAAAGGAGACUUUGACGAACUCAUGGAUCCCACACUGCCAAGAAAAACUUCUAGCGAGACGAAAUCCGCCCGUACCGUAAACCGACACAGGUAGGCGGGGAGAGAAUCCUAAGGUGCGCGGGAAAACCCUCGUUAAGGAACUCGGCAAAUUGCAUCCGUAACUUCGGGAGAAGGAUGACCCUGAGUAGGCGAAAGGGAGAAAUCCCCGGAACAGAAAAGGGUGGCAGAAAAGAGGCCCAAGCAACUGUUUACCAAAAACACAGGUGCCUGCGAAAGCGAAAGCUGAAGUAUAGGUGCUGACGCCUGCCCGGUGCUGGAAGGUUAAGGAGAGAGGUCAGGGAAAGCGAAGCUUUGAACUGAAGCCCCAGUGAACGGCGGCCGUAACCAUAACGGUCCUAAGGUAGCGAAAUUCCUUGUCGGGUAAGUUCCGACCCGCAUGAAAGGCGUAAUGAUUUGGGCACUGUCUCAACGAGGGGCCCGGUGAAAUUGAAAUACCUGUGAAGAUGCAGGUUACCCGCGACUGGACAGAAAGACCCCAUGGAGCUUCACUGCAGCUUGAGAUUGAAUCCCGGUGACAUAUGCACAGGAUAGGUGGGAGGCUAAGAAGUAAUGCCUUUGGGCGUUACAGAGCCGAUGUUGGGAUACCACCCUUAUGUUGCUGAGAUUCUAACACGGAGACUAACAACCUCGUGGACCAUCUCAGGCAGGCGGUUUGACUGGGGCGGUCGCCUCCUAAAAUGUAACGGAGGCGCCCAAAGGUUCCCUCAGGCCGGACAGAAACCGGCCGAAGAGUGCAAAGGCAGAAGGGAGCUUGACUGCGAGACAGACAAGUCGAGCAGAGACGAAAGUCGGGCUUAGUGAUCCGGUGGUACUGAGUGGAAAGGCCAUCGCUCAACGGAUAAAAGCUACCCUGGGGAUAACAGGCUAAUCUCUCCCAAGAGUUCAUAUCGACGGGGAGGUUUGGCACCUCGAUGUCGGCUCAUCACAUCCUGGAGCUGGAGUAGGUUCCAAGGGUUGGGCUGUUCGCCCAUUAAAGUGGUACGCGAGCUGGGUUCAAAACGUCGUGAGACAGUUUGGUUCAUAUCCAUCGCGGGCGCAAGAAGUUUGAGGGAGGCUGCUCCUAGUACGAGAGGACCGGAGUGGACGGAUCAACGGUGUACCAGUUGUCACGCCAGUGGCACGGCUGGAAAGCCGCAUCCGGAAAGGAUAAACGCUGAAAGCAUCUAAGCGUGAAGCCCGUCCCGAGAUGAGACUUCUCAUCAGCAAUGAGUAAGACCCCUUAAAGACGAUGAGGUUGAUAGGCUGUGAGUGGAAGUGGCGCAAGUCAUGGAGCGACGCAGUACUAAUAGGUCGAGGUCUUAGCU
RNAcentral lists this ribosomal RNA (1437 nucleotides) under metagenome. RNAcentral's name for it is "bacterial LSU rRNA". It matches the Rfam family "Bacterial large subunit ribosomal RNA", at positions 1503 to 2925 of the family's 2925-position model. The record is from RNAcentral.